Molecule: long non-coding RNA, 1391 nt
Organism: Oncorhynchus tshawytscha (Chinook salmon)
Lineage: Eukaryota; Metazoa; Chordata; Actinopteri; Salmoniformes; Salmonidae
Source: Ensembl
CUUUAACACCUUGUAGAGUCAACAUGGGCCAGCAUCCCUGUGGAACGCUUUCAACUCCUUGUAGAGUCAACAUGGACCAGCAUCACCGUGGAACGCUUUCAACUCCUUGUAGAGUCAACAUGGGCCAGCAUCCCUGUGGAACGCUUUCAACUCCUUGUAGAGUUCAUGCCCUGAGAAUUUAGGCUGUUCUGAGGGCAAAAGGAGGUGCAACUCAAUAUUAGUAAGGUGUUCUUAAUGUUUUGUAUACUCAGUGUGUACUAUAAUGCAUUGUGCCUCUCAAGGGGGUGGAAACUGAGGCUAGACUGGGCCUGACUGAAGGCUGGCUGGCCUGAUGCAUUAUGACCUGAAGCUCACAGGCAUUUACAAUGCCCUCCACCAAUCCCCUGGCCUGUUACUGUUAGGUUGAAUGCCCUCCACCAAUCCCCUGGCCUGUUACUGUUAGGUUGAAUGCCCUCCACCAAUCCCCUGGACUGUUACUGUUAGGUUGAAUGCCCUCCACCAAUCCCCUGGCCUGUUACUGUUAGGUUGAAUGCCCUCCACCAAUCCCCUGGACUGUUACUGUUAGGUUGAAUGCCCUCCACCAAUCCCCUGGACUGUUACUGUUAGGUUGAAUGACUAACGAUGAACCCUACCUACAGUGAUUUGCUCUGACAGCAUUUUCUAUGUUAAUUUGACUAAUGAGUAACAUUUAAGUAUUUUUUUAGAGAUACUCAUGUCAACAAAUGAAUUUAGUUUAUUUUACAGGGAGAGGUGUAUGAACAGGGGAUGGACACUAUGAGGAAAUGGGAGGGGAGAGGAGGGGAGAGAUGAUGUCAAAUAGUUUUAUAUCCUGAAUGAUGAACCAUGUCUCUGACAUGUUGUAUUUUAUUGGAGCUGUGGAUGUGGCUAGCUCUGGUCCAGGGGGUUAGUGCAUUCCUCGCUGACGCCCUGGACCAGAGCUAGUUGUGGUUAACUGUGGUAGAGAGAAAUAUAAUUUUAAAAUGCUGUAAUUUCAAGUAAAUAAGAAAAGAAACCCAAGACCUUACUUUAAAGACAAGAUCAAAGCUGCUCUCCCUAAUGAGGAGUUGUACAUAUAAAUGUAUUUGAACAAAGUAUUAUUUGCAAUAUUAUAAUGUACAGAAUUGUAUUUAUAAUGUAUCUCAACAAACUGUUUUAAUUGGUACAAAGAUGUUCUAGAAUACAGAACGUUUACGAUCUAAACACUUGUUGUGUGUCGCCUCUUAUUUGCAUUCAAUCAAUUGAGUCAAUGCAGGUAUUUAUUGAGACUCGUGCAACUAUUUGUUCCUGAUUAUAGCCUCAUUGAAGUGUUUGAGUGUAAUUCAAGGUGUCGAGUAGGAAUAAUUAUACGGAAACAAAAAUAUAAACGCAACGUGUAAAGUGUUGGUCCCAUG